GGAGAGCCAGAUCUGAGGCCGGAGGGCCGACGCAGCCUGCGCAUGGGGGCUGUGUUCCCCAGAGCACCCACUGCCAACACAGCCUCUACAGAAGGUCUUCCUGCUAAGCCCGGCUCACACACGCUGCGCCCCCGGAGCUUCCCAUCCCCGACCAAGUGUCUCCGCUGCACCUCGCUGAUGCUGGGCCUGGGCCGCCAGGGCCUGGGUUGUGAUGGUGAGAGUCCCCACCCACUAUGCUCCAGCCACGGUCCCAGCCUGCGGCUACUUUUGUCACACAACCUGUGCCCCACAGGC
This 294-nucleotide long non-coding RNA is filed under the name Homo sapiens (human). RNAcentral describes it as "non-protein coding lnc-EHD1-4:2". Lineage: Eukaryota; Metazoa; Chordata; Mammalia; Primates; Hominidae. The record is from RNAcentral.